This 1396-nucleotide long non-coding RNA is filed under the name Phoenix dactylifera (date palm). RNAcentral's name for it is "long non-coding RNA (PDAC_LNC014800)". Lineage: Eukaryota; Viridiplantae; Streptophyta; Magnoliopsida; Arecales; Arecaceae. The record is from RNAcentral.
CUCAUUUGGCAACAGAAGGAUGUUGACUUUCCAAAAGAGCAUUUUUGGUGCUAGUAUGCAUUUUGGGGUCAAUGUCCUCCAGUCCUCCUAGUAUGCAUCUUGAGAUUGAAUUUGAAAAUCAAGUCCCUAUCCAAGUGCUUACAAGUUAUAAUAUUUGGACCUUAAAGAUGAAACAUGAAGGUCUGUGGCAAAUUUAUAGUCUGUAGUUCAUUUGGCAGAAAAGUGUGGCCCGUCACAGCAGGUCAACAUGGAUGAACGCGUGCAACAUCUGAGGCUCGAGGCAAGUUUCAUACUUUUUUGUCUGUUAAGGCUCAAGAGAAUAGGAAGGUUGACAUACAAGAUGAAAAUUUGAACUACUAAUAAAAACAUGUAUUUGUUAUGCACUUGUGAUUCAAAUCAUUGAAAAGCUUACCAUAUAAGCUUUUCAGUGUGUCAUGAUCAAAUUUGAGCUUGUGUCGAGGUAAUAUGUGCAAGCAAUUAACGUUUGAUCAUAUUUGGAACAAGUUCAGGGUCUGAUACAGCAAACAACUAUGUUGGCUUUAACUUUAACAUGGAUUUCUUAAUUUGACCCAAUGGAAUUAACUUAAAUUCAUGUUUUGAUUGGAUAUAUCUCCUAUCCCUUUAUGGAAUCCAGUACAAGUUUAGUGGGACAGGUUUAUUAAUUCAAUUGGUGACAGGUGAUUUUAAUAAUUCAACUCAAGGUUUUUUAUUUCUUUUCCUUUUUUCCCCUCUUUUCUUUCUUCUUUUCAGCUCAAUAUAAUGAGAAUGACAAAUUCAUGAAGGUACAACUGAUAUUCUUGUAUUUUUUUCAAUUAAAUGAAAUAUCAGACUUUUCACUCAAAUUACUAGAUGAGGCAUCACAUGCCUCCUCAAUUUAUUCUUCUUCAUUUACCUAAUUCAUUAUUAUACUCUUUUUAUAGAUCUUUGCAAUGAUGAUAUCAGAUUUCUUGACUUUUGCAUAAAUUGGUACUAUUAGGUAGGACCUCAUAUAUAAGGAUGAAAUAAGUUAAAGUGUUCUGAAGGCUUUUUCAUGAAUGGAAGAUAAGGGUAAGGCCAAGUGCUUCACUAAUGGGAAUUCCACAGAAUGUGGUACAACAAGACUCUGCUGAGGCUACUAGCAGAAAAUAUUGUGAGCUCUCGUAGUUAUUUAACUUUGUUUGGUAGUUGUUCCCUUGUAUGACUUUCCAUUCAUGACUUCCUUGUGUGAGCUGUAAUUGUCCAAGUUCAUUGUUUCCAUGUGCCUUUGCGAUUAUUGUCAUUUAAUCAUCGACUUAAUUUUGGUUGACUCAUCGUUUGAUCAAGUAUCUUGGUUGAUAUUUGGUUGAUGUUGUGGUGCCAACAGCUCAACUUACUCAUGGCAUAAUCCUCUUGCUUGUAUGAAUUUCUGAGCAAAAAA